Long non-coding RNA from Dreissena polymorpha, 2334 nucleotides. RefSeq lists it as uncharacterized. Lineage: Eukaryota; Metazoa; Mollusca; Bivalvia; Myida; Dreissenidae. The record is from RefSeq and is a predicted model, not a curated record. The transcript has 3 exons.
ACCAGAUGAACAACUCUACCGCGUCGUUUCGAACGUAUUCUCCACUGUUCUUAUUCAGAUAUGAGCCAACAACAAAGAGCAGCUGCUCUUUUAAGGCAGGCAGCAGAUUUGUUGAAUGUCAACACAUGUGACAGGAGUACACAAUACCAACACCAGUAACCUCUGUCAGUAGCACUAGCGCUGCAAAGGCAAUUUUUGCACCCGACAGUAAAAGAAGGAGGCAUGGACAUGCAAAUACAGGAACUGUGGCAGUGUCAGCACUGGACUAUUACACCCAGGUGUUAUCAGGUUCCUGGUUACAACUUAGACCACCUGUUGAAGGAGCUGGACGUUACCAGGGAGAGACACUAGCACAAAGGUGAAUCAGACUAACUGGAGCUACAAGCAGUUUAAAAAAAACUUCAGGGACCAGUCUAAAUGUUCUGAUAAUGAUAAUAGUGUGUGUUAUGUGUUUUAUUGCUUAGAAUUUUGGCUACUCUGUAUCCAAUAUCUAAGGUGGCAUUUUAUUAAGAUUUAGAAAAAAAUAAGGCCAAUCUUAAUAAGAAAUAUUCUGCUAGUUGGAACAUAUUGAACUGUUUAUUCAAUCAUGCAGCAUUUUGUUGUUUACCAUUUGAGCAUUUGGCAUGCUUAAGCUCAACAUAGUAUUAGAGAAAUUGAUUUAUUUCACAUUAUUUUACUUAUCUUGCAAUGAUUUUACAAGAAUCUUUUUCACACAUCUUGAAGAUUGGUAAGCAGAUAUGUUCUUGCUAGAUUUCAAUGGUGAAGUUGUUUAGUAAAAAUUUCUUGCCUUUCUUUUUUGUUGUGCUGACAUUUUGACAUUAGUUAUAAUUUGUUUGCAGUGAACAGCCAAGGUUAAGUAGACCUGGUACUUGCAUUCAAUCAAAUUGAGCCGCGUUCUGGGGAAAAUGGCUUUAUGCAAGUGUGUGAAUUGUCGUCCCAGAUAAGCUUAUGUGGUCCACACAUGCUUAUCUGAGACAACAUUGUCGGCCUAGUGGAAUUUUUUUUCAAAAUCUCAUAAAACCAGAAAGUGUCUUUCCUGAUUAGCCUGUGCGGACCGUACACGUUAAUCUGCGACAACACUUUAGGAACAUGCAUUAAAUCCCAUUUUCCCAGAGCAAGGGUCAAUUGUAUUUAUUUCCUUUCACAUGCUCUUUAUUUUAGGAUCAUACAGAUUCUAAAUGCCUAUUUAUUGUAAGCUGAAUAUUUAGUCAUAACCAAAAAGUGUCAUAAGAUUUUUGUUAAGACAGGACCCUGAAUUCUAGCAUUUAAUGAGGUUAUGUGCUUUUCCACACUUAUUCUAUGUCUUAUAAGUAAAAGGUGUACACUAGCAAUAAUAUAAUUUGCUACCAAAAAUGUUUUCCAUAUAUAUAACUUCUUUUACAAGAAAGACGUUAACAUGUGUAAAAAAAGUAAGCAAUCAAAAUGACGGGUAUUAAUUUUUGUGUGGUUUUACGCAUUUAUUUUACACAAAUUAUAAAACCAUGAUGAAGUAUACGUAAUUAACAAAUAUAAAUCAGUUUAUUUAUUGUGCAUCCAGGCAUUUACAUAUAACCAGACAGUAGUGCAAUCUCACAUGUAUAUGUAGGUUUUAAGCUCUACUGGCAGAAGGCCUGAAGAGCUUAUAUCAUGGCAUGGUUUCCGUCGUCCGUGCUUUAGUUUUUUUCUUGUUUACGCGCUAAAGUCCACAGUUUUCAUCUGAUUCUUUUCAAACUUGUUCAGUGUCUUUAUAUUAAUGAGGACUCGAACCCUAUUGAAAAUGGGUUACAUCAGAGUAAAAAGUCCAGAAUUAUCUCCCCUUGAAUUUGAGAAAAUUGUGAAAUAAGGCUUGUUUACGCAAUAAAGUCCACAGUUUUCAUCCAAUCAUUACCCAACUUGCACAGUGUCUUUAUCUGAAUAAUGAGUCAAACCCUAUUGAAAAUGAGCAAUAUCGGAGUUAUAAGUCCAGAAUUAUCUCCCCUUGAAUUUGAGAAAAAAAUGAAAAUUCAGUUUUUUUAUGUGAUAAAGUCCAUAAUUUUCAUCCAAUUCUUGGCAAACUUGCACAGUGUCUUUGUAUCAAUGAGGACUCAAAUAGCCAGUAGAGCGAUUGAGGCUCUCAUGGGCCUCUUGUUCACUUAUAUUGCACCAGUGUAUAGAUUGUUUUGAAAAUAAUUGUAUGAUCAUGUUAAAGUUGCAAAUGUCUAGCCAUAAGCAGUAUGUGUGGGAUACACUAGCAACAGGACCAGAGAGAUCAUUUUGUUUUCAGAUGAUGUUUAUGUAAUGUGUGUUUCAUCCUUAUAUUUAUUUAACCAGUAUGCCAUGUAAUACAUAUAUUUCCUAAUAAAAUUGUAAAAAAGG